GAUUUUUUGCGUGUUGCGCUUGAAGUCUCCAUCGGUGUGUAGAGUUCUAGGUAUACAGUUGAAAAGACACUAAGUCACACGCUAUAAUCUGUCAACUUUUGAGCAUAUCCUUUUCACCGUGCAUAACUGACAAAUGAAUUUGUUUUUGUUUUUCUCGACGUUUGUCAAAAGUUUUGUUUUUCUUUUCCGGUUUUCAAUAAUUAAAUUAUUUUGGUUUGCGUUUGUAAUUUUAUUGAGUAUCUACGAAAAUCUGUUUAUUUACAAUGUGCAUCAGGUCAAGGAAAAAGUGUUGGAAAUUUACAGCCAUCUCCUCACGGCGUAUGUCCGACUUUCCCGCAUCACCGUUGGCAGCUUAUUCCAACACGAUGGUCCAUACACUAGCACACUUUUCCUGCUAGAUGUACUAUGUCGAGAGAUGUUGACACCUCUUAUGCAUUCCAGCUGUGAUCGUAUCCGGGUAGCGUUCCGUCGAUAGCCGUUUUCAUAAAGCCACUAAUCUGGAAUCGGUAUAGUUGGGCGGUAUAUCGUGCCCAAGAAUUUCUUUCCGUUAUGCUGCAGUCGUGUCUCGAUGACGAAGGCGGUGGAUGAAACGGAUAGCUGACUUAAAGCAACGAUGGAGGUGCUCUUUGAGCGCAGCAGACAGACCCGGACUAUAGUGGCCUCUACAGUGUCUUCAUUUCGAAUGGUUCAUAACUACGAUGCCAACUACAAAGGAACUGUAAGUCGUGUUCCUGGUCGUUCACUUUUCCUGCUGCGCAUCUCACCUUUCCAUUCCCCUCAAAUCAAACACCAUUUUCGUCGAGUUACAACUUUUAAUGCUGAUAAAAGUUUGUAAUAAUCUAUUCUGAGUCAACAACAACAUGCACGGUAACUUUGAAACAACUAUUGAAAAAUCUGAAUGGGUUUCCUGAAUACAGUCACGACAUGUUCUACCGAGCAAUAUACCGGGAUGAAUGAGCCGGUUAAAGCAAUCACAAUUGAAAAGGAUCGGUUGCAUUGAUGUCUUGAAAUUCCUAGAGGAUGUACCGGAUGUAACGACACCGAACGUCAAACCAAAAUCUACUGACUUAACAGGCGUGUCCGUUUCCGUGAAGCGUCCGUUUCACUGAAGUCAACAAAAGGUAUAACCUCGAGGAUUUUACAAGGUGGAUUGAUCAGGUGGUAGAUGAUUUCCGGACCCUUUGUAGACUGAUUGGCUAGCGACGUACAGCCACAGAGAACAGACGUUCAUCUUCAUUCGCGUGCUUGUGUAAAAGUUUGUACUGGUCGUUUUGAAGUAUGUUGUUAUGCCCCCGUUGCGUGGUGCUAGUGUGCUGAUAAAUAUGGUUAAAAUUUGCCGUAUUUUACUUUCUGGCGCUAGUGUUCAUUCCGAAUCGAGCCUAGGCUCGCUCCUAGGUGGCAGCACUACAUUGUUUAUGUAGUGUAUGCCAACGCCAUCACUUAGAUUGAGAUUGAGUUUUUAUGUCGGGCAGCCUGCGUUGGCGGCGCUGAGGUGCGAUUUAAAUCUUUACACAGGUUUUUAACGAAAUUUUGUUCGAGCAUCUAUGUCUGUUCUCUGUGGUACAGCCAUGGACCGGUGAAUGGAUACGACUGUUAUAUACUGCAGAGGCCACUCCGGCAUUAGGUUGAAUGAAACAUAUAAUGCUGCCACGAAUAUACCCCUCUCUGUGUGAAAAGAAGACCGUUGAUGUAGCAAAACCGUCAAGCGUUACUACGCGAUCUAAAGAAAAUUUAAUUAAUUAA
This is a long non-coding RNA of Armigeres subalbatus, 1743 nucleotides long. RefSeq lists it as uncharacterized. The transcript has 5 exons. The record is from RefSeq and is a predicted model, not a curated record. Lineage: Eukaryota; Metazoa; Arthropoda; Insecta; Diptera; Culicidae.